Molecule: long non-coding RNA, 4877 nt
Filed under: Capsicum annuum
Lineage: Eukaryota; Viridiplantae; Streptophyta; Magnoliopsida; Solanales; Solanaceae
Description: long non-coding RNA (CANN_LNC018584)
Source: RNAcentral
UAGCAUAAGGAAAUCCGAAAGAGAUAAAUAUUUAUAUUUUUAUCAAAAAUAAAUAUAUAAGACAUACAUAUGGAGAACAAAAACACGAAUAUAUAUAUAGGAAAAGAUGCAUAUUAAAACAGAAAAUUAAAAUAAAAGUGUUUGCAUACUUUUUGGUAGAAUUAUAAUGAUGGAGUUCUAGUCCCUAAACUAAUCUGUCUAAGCUAAUCAAUUCCUCUCGUUUUUUUUAAAAUGGAUUUUCACAUUUUAUAAAUUUUAUUUCAAGUAAAAGUAUUCUUAUUACAUCCUGUUUUAGACAAUAAUAAAGUUACAUGAAUCAAUAGUAAAUAAAUAAUAAGAAGAUGAGCAAUUGAUGUGAUCCACAUUCAAAAUGUGUUAGAAACUUGAAACAUCAUCCUAUAUUCGUGACCAACUUAUCUUUCAAUUCUGUCUUGUCUAUGAGAUGUUGAAACAUGAAAAAUUAAAAGCCGGUCAAUUUUUACGAAAAAUUGAUUCUUCGAUCUCCUCAUAUGUUUGGCAAAAUCCAAAAAUAUUUAUUUGAUUUACUUCUCAUGGCAUCCAAAUAUUCACUUUUUUUCACUAGAGAAAUUGAAACACGAAAAUUAGAAUAAAUUGAAAUCUGAAAAUUAGAUUACUAUGGAGGGAUAGAAAACUAAAAGCAACCAAGGAAAACAAUUAUAUGAGAAUAAAAAAUAAAUAUAAAAUGAUGCACGUUAAAAGGGAAAAGAUUGAAAGCAAAGAAGACAAGCAAAAAGAAAAAGAAAAGUGAAAACAAUUAGUUACCUCUUCCAUAUUGAAAUGUUCAACAAUGUUAAGUAGAGUUUAUAUAUUUCAAUGUCCAUUAAAUACAAAAUUGUAACUUACGGAAAUAGAGAGGAAAGGAUAAUUAAGAAAAUUUAAUUAGAGGAUGAAUAACGAGUAGAAAUGGUACCAAGAGAAAAUGAAAGGUCUUAGGGUAGUAAAUGAGUAAUAAUUGAUAUAACUAAUAACUAAAGAAAUAAUGUAGGUAAAUUUAAGUUUCUACUAUUUUUAGAUGGAAAAUAAGAAAAAAAUUCAAAAAAUUGAGAGAAAAGAAAGAUGUGAAUUUGGUCUAGGAAAGCGCCACGUCAGCAGCCUCUAAUGCUUCUUAUAUAUAUAUAUAUAUAUAUAUAUAUAUAUAUAUAUAUAUAUAAUCUAUAAUAUAUUAAAAGUGAGAAGACCCUUAGAAAAGUGAUUAGAAUUUUUUGUCCUCUAUUAAAAUACUCUCUUUAGACAAAAUCAUCUUUUUACCUUUUUCAUUAUUUUUAUGAUAUUAAAUAUUGAUAAUAAUAAAUAUGUUAUAAAUUAAAUGGAGCCCCCCACAAAAAAAAAGGCAAAAAACAAAAAGCAAAGAACCUACACAAAAUUUUGGCAAAAAAAAACCUCUUUUAACCUACAUAAAAUUUUGGCAAAAAUCCUCUUUUAACUAAAAUACAUUUGGUCCAAAAAUAAAAAAUAGGCAAAAAUAAUGGUUAAGUCCAAAUCAAAUUAAACCCUGAUAACUGUUUUGUUAAAUCCUUGCAUAGUCUAUUUAAUAAGAACUUUAACAAGCAAACAUACAAACUCUAAUAUGAUUAUUGGUCUAGAUAAUCUCUAGCUUUAGGGACUUACAUACUUUAGAGAAUUUCUAUCAUUUCUUUGUGUUUGUGCUGAAGUUGCUUACAGUUUUUUGAAUUGAUUAAAUGUUAUAUUAAUUUACUUGAUCAAGUUUUGAUUCUGCCCCUGAUUUUUCUUUCUUAUUUAUAUAUUCAGGUCUUUGUUCAUUCAUAAUAAUUUCAGGUAUUUAUUCAAAAAUUUUAGGACAUAAAAUAAAUAUAUGAAAGGAGUUAGUCGCAUAUAUUUACAUGUCCAUAGAAAUUUUAAUUGAUAGAAUUUUUUCGCCUUUUAACGUUGUUGUCCUAAUAAUUUGGACUUUCAAAUUGUUAUGAUUAUUUACGUAGGAUGUAUAUAGAUUUUAGAGGUGGUGACUGGAGUUCCUUAUUCAGAGAAGUUGGAUCACACACGCUGGAACACAUACGUUAUCGUUCAAAGUGAAAAACUUGCCGAAAAGUUUUGAUUGAAGAGAGAAAGGUGUGGUUACUACGGUGACGAUGCAAGUGAGAAUUGUACUGUCAGAAUUACUCUAAUUUUUGCAUGGCUAUAAAGUUAUACAAUAUAUCGUGAAACUAUCUGCUUAAUUAAUGAAUUCUAGAUUUCACAUUAAUGGAACCUUAUAAUGAGUUUUUAAUAAGUCAAUGAAAAGUCAAAGAAGUGCUCUAUGUAAGAUCCCGUUUCACCUAAUUCUGAUGCGUUUGACAAUGUGGUAAGUAUCUCUCCUAACGGCCUUCACUAAAUUGUCGAAGUUGAUAACGUUAUUGUGCAUGUAUUAAAGUUUUAAAUUAGAUUUGACUCUCUAACGAAACACAACCAUUUGUAUGCAUGCUUGGUUGUAUAUAGGUUGAAGCACAUGACACUUGAAAUAGUAUGCUUAUUAGCUUUUUCGACUUUCUUAUAGUCGUUUCGGAGAUUAAGUAGCUCUCAAUUUCUGCUUUUCUUGUGAAAUAAUUUAAUCCAACGGAUGAUAAAUGAGUCAAAUUUACUAUCUGUAGAUUAAAAUUGGUGAUUUUAUAUUUUUUAAUGUACCAUAAAAUUCUCAAAGUUGAAUUUAUACUAUAUUCAAUUUUUUUGAAUGUAAAUAUGUUACCAUGAUUAUAACCUCAACUUAUAAGAUGCUGUUGUUUUAUUCCUUUUUUUUGCUUUAGAAAAUUUUCAAGACACGAUGCAAUUGGUAAGAAAAAUUGCCGGAACAAAUAUACUUAGGGCGGAUCUACAAUGUUAGGCGGAAACCCCCCCACAUUGUUGUAAAUUCGAUAAAUAUAUUUAAAAUAGAACAAGUCAAUAAAAUAUUAUAGAUGAAAAUCCAUAAACAAAAACAGCGUUGGCUUGAUGGCAUGGAAUAGACUUUUAAAAUGCUUAGUUCCAUGGCCAUGAGAUUGAUGGCAUGGAAUGGACUCUUAAAAUGCUUAGUUCCAUGGCCAUGGGAUUGAUCCUUACUCGGUGUUAUCUUUUUUAUUAUAUUAUUAUAUAUUACUUUAUUUUAUCGGGAACCCACAAGUUUGAAAUCCUAGAUCCGCCUCGGAAUAGACUUACAAAAUUUAAUAGCUAACUCAAGGCAACUACAUCUCUUUUCAACAAGUGAAGAAGAUAGACUAUCCAUUAUAAGAUGUACAAAAAAAUCAAUUCCAUGAAUAAAAAGACGUCUAAAAUUGGCAGGAACUACAGAUAAUCAAUUAUUGAGAAACAAUUGUUCUUUUUUCCAACAAAAAAUACAUUGCAAAUUAUCCUACAUAUUUGUGUUUUUGCAGGAACUUCCAUCUCUCUUAAACUGCUACUAAAUUUCCUCUUUUUGAUAAUAUUAAAUUGGAUCGGGAUGAUAAAUUAUUUGCUAUUGCUGGAGCGUUAUGAAGAAUUAAGGUCUUCGAAUUUUCAUCGAUAAAUUCAUGUGUCACAUGCUCUGAUCAAUUUUAAGAAUUUUGAAUUAUCACGAAGUUGUUUCAUUUUUGGGAUAUAGAUGAAGCUUGUAGGAGAGGGUCUCCUUUUCUUUCCUAUUCCUGUUCCUUUUAAGUACACUUUUUGUCUUAAAAUUUUAUAUAUUUUUUUUAAAUUGUGCUAAAUAACAUAGUGUACACAUAAUAAUUUAUACGUUUUACUUACAUUUGAGUGUUGAUAGGGGAGGGGAGAAGGAAAUACACCCUACUUAGUUACUAAAUUUAACAAUUAGUAAUAGCAGAGGGUAGCUUGUCGAGACUGUUAUGAUACGUACACUUUUGUACCUCAUAUUGAUGUCCUACUGAAUGUGUUGAAUAUCUCAAAUAAUUAUUUUUUUUCUCUUUCUAGACACUCAAAUAAUUAUUUUUGUUUUCUUUUUACUAGACAAAGUGUCCUUUAUUAAUAAAUAAAUUAAAUUCCUCAACAGGAAUAAGUACAAGGGAAUCUAGGUCUUACCUUACCAAUCCUAAUAAGUACUUUGGUUUCUUUAAUUAGUUACAUGAUUGAAGAAAAUUUGGUCUUGAUUAUCUACAAGGAGUUUAAAUCAUGUCCUAUCAUCAAAUCUGUAUUGAUUUAGGAUGGAUAUUACUAAUACAAUGUUACUAAUACAUAGUUUUAGCUGAGGCACUUACGAUUAAAGUUUUGAUUGCCUCAAUCAAAUUUUUAAUGUAGAGAUGAGUCACUUGAUUGUUGUACAGGGACUCUUAAGCAUCGUUGAUGUAGCUAUACUUAUUUAGAGUCAUUUAGAUGAGCCUCAAUUGUGAAAAAUAAGUUGUGUUAAUGACCUAAUUGUAUUCCAUAUCUUUAAUUACUCUACAUAGUCCAUACUCCCUACCUUGAAAAUAAAGCAAAGGCCAAAGUCUUCUCAUUUACUUCUACGGAGGCAAGUUCUAUUGAAUGCUUUUAGCCGAUGCAUCUACACUUUAAACCAUUAUCUCCAUGAAAAAAGUGAUAAAUUUCUUUUAUCAUGUAUUCUAGCCAUUUUCAAAUAUCCUUAAUUUUGGUUGAUCGGAAUAAUUUCUAAGAUAAGAGUAUUUAAUAUAUAUAUACAUAUAUUUUAAAAUUACUUUGAAGCAUUAUUUCUAAGCCGAGGAUUUUUCAGAAACAACCUCUGAUCUCUACUUGGUAGUUUGUAAAUCCUUCAUAUGCUCUACCACAGCUAAACUCCACUUAUAAAAGUAUACUAAGAAUAUUUAUUGUUGUAUCAGUGGUUUUACACUUCUAUGGAUUUGUAUUAGCAAUGGGUUUGCACUAGCAAGCACAUGAUUUUAAAUAGAAGAUUAUAGAAUACUCAAAUUUGAGAUCAUAUUAUUCCUUGAUGGUAUAAAUUU